RNAcentral lists this long non-coding RNA (1900 nucleotides) under Fukomys damarensis (Damara mole-rat). RNAcentral describes it as "lncRNA (ENSFDAG00000024418.1)". Lineage: Eukaryota; Metazoa; Chordata; Mammalia; Rodentia; Bathyergidae. The record is from RNAcentral.
CCAGGCGUGACGUGGCGGGUGGGGGAUCAUCAUCUCCUGCCAGCCACUCACCUGUUUGUCCAUGCAGGAAGCAUUCGCUGACCCCCGCCGCAACACUGUGCGGGGCACUGGGGCCACGGGGGAGUGAGGCGCCUUGCCCCUGCCGGCCGGAGAGGGGCAAGGGCACGCAGCACAGGGACUGGACAGGACAGGGCAUGAGUGCAUGGGAGCUGGGGGAGGAGGAGAGGAGCCAGGAGAGGGGCAGGGACACCGGCGGGCAAGGCAGGAGGGUCCCUGGGCAGCAGCACUCUGUCCACUCUGACCCCUGCUGCCCGCAGUCUGGCCAGCGAUGCUCAGGAGUCUGGAUCUUUAUCCUAAGCACAACAGGGAAAUGGUGAAAAGUUUUAGAUUUGAGUGACUUGCAAAGAUAUGCACUUUAAAAUGGCGCUGUGGCUGCAGUGUGAAGAUCAGGGCCAAGAAGGUGGUGCGUUAGUGGCGGACGGUUCCCAGCAGCUGGGGCCCGGACGCGUCGGCGGCGGAGGAGAGAAGGCGGGUGAGGCCAACGCGGGGUGAGGCACCCGGACCUGUGAGUCUGCAGUGCAGGGGUGCAGGGUGGGACAUGGCUGCCCCUUAACGGCCUUGGGGCUGUGCCAUCUGCUCACAAGCCCUGCAGGUUGCAGCAGAGCGGAUGAUCGACCGUACCCUGCUCGAGCCCUAGCGCCCAGGGCUGGGAAAUUCCACAGGGCAGAGGAGUCAGCCAACACGGAUCUGGACUACAGCCCUGGUUUUCCUUCCUGCCCACGGAAGGCUGCCUCUGGGCUGAGCUUCCUGAACCUGGCACAGAGGCUGUCAGAGGGGCUGUGUUCUCCGUUUCUCCCCAGGAGAGUUGGCCCUGCCCUGCACAGUUGGAUCAGGGCCGCUCCUCGGGAGGGCUGUGUCCGCUCCAGGUUUGUUCAUCACGUCUGAAGGCCCUGGCACACUUUCACAACCCGAUCUAACCUGCCACAAAAUGCAACCCAGUGUUGUGGUUUGUGCUACAGGUACAGUUGGAUGGAGGGAAGGGAAGCAUAGCUUUGGGGUAAACCCUCAGAUGAGCACCUGGACGGGGCCGUGCUGAUCAGGGAAACCAGAACUUCCAACUGGCCGGAUGUCAGGUAUGCUGAGUUUGUGUUCCCUGAAAUCGAAGAGUGAAUUCCACAGGACAGAGGAGGCAAGGUUCACUCUGGAACAGGAGCAACUCCCAAGAGACAGAGGGGUCCCGAGUCGGUGGCACUGAGGCCCUUUGUCAGGGGCAAUUUGUACAGCAAAGUCAGGAUGUGGGUACCAUGGGGGUCAAACUACAACCAGCCCAUCGGACCACAAGCACAGCUGCUUAGCUAACAUCAUCCGUGGGGAAGCAGGGCAUGCAGUAAGGUCUGUGUCCGGCACCACCACGCCUGGCCCACCUGUGACUUCUGAAGCAGGGCCUUUUGGGAAGGCUGGUCCGGGUGUUCUGGUCAGCCAUCCGGUGUCCGACACACAUCUGGACAUGGCGGACUGGGUGGCACUCAUUACAGUACAGUCUCAAAUUCGGCUUCUCCUUAGGGAAAUACCAAGCCAAGCCCUUGUGACUUCAUCUUGAGGCCUGGCCUCUUCAGAUGCGUCUCCAGCCACAGCUCUGACGUCUUUGACUUCCACUGACUUUGACAGCCCAGUCCCUCUCUGUCUGCUAAGUUGUAUCUAACAUAGUGGCCUAUAAUAAUGUGAGGGAGGACAAUACAGAAGAAAUCUGUACAUAGCCAGGUGUGGUGGCACACGCUGUAAUCCCAGUACCCGGGAGGCUGAGGCAGGAGAAUUACCAUGAGUUCAAGGCCACCCUGGGUUACACACUGAAACCCUGAAAACAUUGGAAAAAAAAAAAAAGAAAAACGAAUACCACUUA